RNAcentral lists this ribosomal RNA (332 nucleotides) under uncultured bacterium. RNAcentral's name for it is "bacterial SSU rRNA". It matches the Rfam family "Bacterial small subunit ribosomal RNA", at positions 568 to 898 of the family's 1533-position model. The record is from RNAcentral.
CGUGUAGGCGGUCGACCAAGUCUGGUGUGAAAGCCCGGGGCUCAGCUCCGGAAGGGCAUCGGAAACUAGUCGGCUGGAGCGCGAUAGAGGAGGGUAGAAUUCCUGGUGUAGCGGUGAAAUGCGUAGAUAUCAGGAGGAAUACCGGCGGCGAAGGCGGCCCUCUGGAUCGUUGCUGACGCUGAGACGCGAAAGCGUGGGGAGCAAACAGGAUUAGAUACCCUGGUAGUCCACGCUGUAAACGAUGGGUACUAGGUGUUUGGGGUAUUGACCCCCUGAGUGUCGCAGUUAACGCAUUAAGUACCCCGCCUGGGGACUACGGCCGCAAGGUUAAA